GAGGGCAUAGCCCAGUGGUAGAGUGUGUGCUUAGCAUGCACAAGGUCUUGGGUUCAGUCCCCAGUACCUCCA
This 72-nucleotide transfer RNA is filed under the name Camelus bactrianus (Bactrian camel). It matches the Rfam family "tRNA". Rfam says of the family: Transfer RNA (tRNA) molecules are approximately 80 nucleotides in length. Their secondary structure includes four short double-helical elements and three loops (D, anti-codon, and T loops). RNAcentral also lists the same sequence under 2 other names. The record is from Rfam by way of RNAcentral. Lineage: Eukaryota; Metazoa; Chordata; Mammalia; Artiodactyla; Camelidae.